Molecule: ribosomal RNA, 467 nt
Filed under: uncultured bacterium
Lineage: Bacteria
Description: partial 16S ribosomal RNA
Rfam family: Bacterial small subunit ribosomal RNA
Source: RNAcentral
GAUGAACGCUGGCGGCGUGCUUAACACAUGCAAGUCGAACGGAAAGGCCUCUGCUUGCAGGGGUACUCGAGUGGCGAACGGGUGAGUAACACGUGGGUGAUCUGCCCUGCACUUCGGGAUAAGCCUGGGAAACUGGGUCUAAUACCGGAUAGGACAAUGGUUUGGAUGCUGUUGUGGAAAGUUUUUCGGUGUGGGAUGAGCUCGCGGCCUAUCAGCUUGUUGGUGGGGUAAUGGCCUACCAAGCCGUCGACGGGUAGCCGGCCUGAGAGGGUUUACGGACGCACUGGGACUGAGAUACGGGCCACAGUCGUACGGGAGGCAGCAGGGGCGAAUGUUGGACAAUGGGCGCAAGCCUGAGGGAGCGAGGCCGCGUGGGGGAUGACGGCCUUCGGGUUGUAAACACCUAUCGCUAGGGAAGAAGCGUUUUUGUGACGGUACCUGGAGAAGAAGCACCGGCUAACUACGUG